Molecule: small nucleolar RNA, 106 nt
Organism: Malania oleifera
Lineage: Eukaryota; Viridiplantae; Streptophyta; Magnoliopsida; Santalales; Ximeniaceae
Source: RefSeq, a predicted model, not a curated record
ACCUGAUGAUGUGGGCAUUUAUGGAAUAGGUCCCUAAAGCAUUCCCAAGUCUCAAAAAAGAGUUCCCCAUCCAUAUGUGAGAAGCUCAUGAUGGUUCUCCCAAGCU